GUGAGUCAUCGAAUCUUUGAACGCACCUUGCGCCCCUUGGUAUUCCGAGGGGCAUGCCUGUUUGAGUGUCUUGAAAUCAUCAAGCCCCUCGGCGCUCGUCGCCGGAGGGCUUGGACUUGGGGGUCUUGCUGACGCUUCGGCGCCGGCUCCCCUUAAAUGAAUCGGUCGGGCUUAUCGUGUGCCGGUCCACGGGCGUUGUAUCACCCUCGUCCUGGGAUGGCGCUCGACUCGAAGGCCCCUCCUCGACCUGCCUAUGGAGCGGCGGUCAAAGGCGCUUUGCCACUUUGUGAUCUGACCUCAAAUCAGGUAGGACUACCCGCUGAACUUAAGCAUAUCAAUAAGCGGAGGA
Molecule: unclassified non-coding RNA, 349 nt
Filed under: Agaricomycetes sp.
Lineage: Eukaryota; Fungi; Basidiomycota; Agaricomycetes
Description: partial contains 5.8S ribosomal RNA, internal transcribed spacer 2, and large subunit ribosomal RNA
Rfam family: 5.8S ribosomal RNA (bases 1-71)
Source: RNAcentral